RNAcentral lists this transfer RNA (73 nucleotides) under Salmo salar (Atlantic salmon). It matches the Rfam family "tRNA". From Rfam's summary of the family: Transfer RNA (tRNA) molecules are approximately 80 nucleotides in length. Their secondary structure includes four short double-helical elements and three loops (D, anti-codon, and T loops). The record is from Rfam by way of RNAcentral. Lineage: Eukaryota; Metazoa; Chordata; Actinopteri; Salmoniformes; Salmonidae.
CACACUGUAGCUCGGUUGGUAGAGCAUGGUGCUUGCAAUGCCAGGGUUGUGGGUUCGAUUCCCAUGGGUGGGC